UCCCAUGUGGUCUGGUGGUCAGGAUUCCUGGUUUUCACUCAGGUGUCCCAUGUUCAACUCCUGGUAUGGGAA
This 72-nucleotide transfer RNA is filed under the name Perca flavescens (yellow perch). It matches the Rfam family "tRNA". Rfam says of the family: Transfer RNA (tRNA) molecules are approximately 80 nucleotides in length. Their secondary structure includes four short double-helical elements and three loops (D, anti-codon, and T loops). Lineage: Eukaryota; Metazoa; Chordata; Actinopteri; Perciformes; Percidae. The record is from Rfam by way of RNAcentral.